GAAAUGCGAUAAGUAAUGUGAAUUGCAGAAUUCAGUGAAUCAUCGAAUCUUUGAACGCACCUUGCGCCCUUUGGUAUUCCGAAGGGCACACCUGUUUGAGUGUCGUGAAAUUCUCAACCCUCUUCGYUUUUUUUSCGAACGUAGGGAUUGGACUUGGAGGCUUUUGCCGGGCUGCUUCUUGUCGCYCGGCUCCUCUCAAAUGCAUUAGUGCGUCUUGUUGCGACGUGCGCCUCGGUGUGAUAAUUAUCUACGCUGUGGUGUGCUUGCUUCUUUGGAGACACGCUUCCGAACCGUCCGAAAGGACAGCUUUCAUCGAACUUUGACCUCAAAUCAGGUGGGACUACCCGCUGAACUUAA
Molecule: ribosomal RNA, 357 nt
Filed under: Stereum ostrea
Lineage: Eukaryota; Fungi; Basidiomycota; Agaricomycetes; Russulales; Stereaceae
Description: eukaryotic LSU rRNA
Rfam family: 5.8S ribosomal RNA (bases 1-105)
Source: RNAcentral